GGGAAUCUACCUUUUGCUACGGAAUAACUCAGGGAAACUUGUGCUAAUACCGUAUGUGCCCUUUUGGGGAAAGAUUUAUCGGCAAAGGAUGAGCCCGCGUUGGAUUAGCUAGUUGGUGAGGUAAAGGCUCACCAAGGCGACGAUCCAUAGCUGGUCUGAGAGGAUGAUCAGCCACACUGGGACUGAGACACGGCCCAGACUCCUACGGGAGGCAGCAGUGGGGAAUAUUGGACAAUGGGCGCAAGCCUGAUCCAGCCAUGCCGCGUGAGUGAUGAAGGUCUUAGGAUUGUAAAGCUCUUUCACCGGUGAAGAUAAUGACGGUAACCGGAGAAGAAGCCCCGGCUAACUUCGUGCCAGCAGCCGCGGUAAUACGAAGGGGGCUAGCGUUGUUCGGAUUUACUGGGCGUAAAGCGCACGUAGGCGGACUUUUAAGUCAGGGGUGAAAUCCCGGGGCUCAACCCCGGAACUGCCUUUGAUACUGAAAGUCUUGAGUAUGGAAGAGGUGAGUGGAAUUCCGAGU
This 520-nucleotide ribosomal RNA is filed under the name uncultured bacterium. RNAcentral describes it as "bacterial SSU rRNA". It matches the Rfam family "Bacterial small subunit ribosomal RNA", at positions 120 to 674 of the family's 1533-position model. The record is from RNAcentral.